This 405-nucleotide ribosomal RNA is filed under the name uncultured bacterium. Its description in RNAcentral is "partial 16S ribosomal RNA". It matches the Rfam family "Bacterial small subunit ribosomal RNA", at positions 28 to 526 of the family's 1533-position model. The record is from RNAcentral.
GACGAACGCUGGCGGCGUGCUUAACACAUGCAAGUCGAGCGGAGCGGCGAACGGGUGAGCAACGCGUGAGUAAUUGCCACCCUCUCUGGGAUAACAGAUGGAAACGGCUGAUAAUACCGGAAAGUGGGGGAUGACUCGCGUCCUAUCAGAUUGUUGGUGGGGUAGUGGCCUACCAAGGCGACGACGGGUAGCCGGACUGGGAGGGCGACCGGCCACAUUGGGCUGAGGUACGGCCCAAACUGCUACGGGCGGCAUCAGUGGGGACUAUUGCGCAAUGGGGGGAACCCUGAUGCACCAACGCCGCGGGCGGAAUGACGGCCUUCGGGUUGGAAACCGCUUUCAGCCAUGACGCGGUAGUGGCAGAAGAAGCACCGGCUAACUACGUGCCAGCAGCCGCGGUAAUAC